AAGCUGUUAAGAGGUUUGUGCCCCUUGUGAUAGGGUCUAUCACUACCAUCUCUGAUCCGUUCGACGAAAACGGUACAUCUGAGCUU
Pistacia vera is the source of this 86-nucleotide small nucleolar RNA. RefSeq annotates it as small nucleolar RNA snoR114. The record is from RefSeq and is a predicted model, not a curated record. NCBI's taxonomy places the organism in Eukaryota, Viridiplantae, Streptophyta, Magnoliopsida, Sapindales, Anacardiaceae. The transcript has a single exon.